Molecule: ribosomal RNA, 401 nt
Filed under: uncultured bacterium
Lineage: Bacteria
Description: bacterial SSU rRNA
Rfam family: Bacterial small subunit ribosomal RNA
Source: RNAcentral
AACGAACGCUGGCGGCGUGCCUAACACAUGCAAGUCGUGCGAGAAAGUUCCUUCGGGAGCGAGUAAAGCGGCGCACGGGUGAGUAACACGUAGGUAACCUGCCCCCCAGUCUGGAACAACUAGAGGAAACUCUAGCUAAUGCCGGAUGAGACCACGAUCCCUUCGGGGGUUGCGGCCAAAGAUGGCCUCUACUUGUAAGCUAUCGCUGAGGGAUGGGCCUGCGGGCCAUUAGCUUGUUGGUGAGGUAACGGCUCACCAAGGCUGUGAUGGCUAGCUGGUCUGAGAGGAUGACCAGCCACACUGGGACUGAGACACGGCCCAGACUCCUACGGGAGGCAGCAGUGGGGAAUAUUGCGCAAUGGGCGAAAGCCUGACGCAGCGACGCCGCGUGGGUGGAUGAA